This 463-nucleotide long non-coding RNA is filed under the name Chloebia gouldiae (Gouldian finch). RNAcentral describes it as "Erythrura gouldiae (Gouldian finch) lncRNA (ENSEGOG00005014423.1)". Lineage: Eukaryota; Metazoa; Chordata; Aves; Passeriformes; Passeridae. The record is from RNAcentral.
AUCUGUUCUCAUGGCAGGGGGAUUUGCAGAGCUGUUACUGAACAAUAGCUCUGAGGGUAUAAAAGACUUGCUCGGAAGUUACCCCCUUUUAAGCACGUUAAGCAAAGAGACUUGGAUUUUUUUUUACAUUUGCUUCCCUUUUUUUCUGCUUCCAGAUUUUUGCAACACCUUUUUUUAUAUUGUCAAGUUUUCUGUCUCUGAAAAAACUUAGAACUUGGAUAUGAAGACGACUGGAUCUGCACAUGUCAUGAAAGAUCCAGGAGAUGGCCAAAGUGUAAUUUCAGUAUUGUCACAGUGGAUGGAAGUCUCUCCACCUGGCAGCAGGUGUAGCCAAUGGUGUUACGAUGUCCUACCAGUGUCUUUGAAGCACUCUGUGGUGAAAAGUGAUGCAGGGAGAAAGAGGAUGCAAUCAUCAUGCACAAGUCUGAGUAUUCCUUUCGGAAGACAAGCAUCUAAUAAAUUU